Molecule: ribosomal RNA, 253 nt
Filed under: uncultured bacterium
Lineage: Bacteria
Description: partial 16S ribosomal RNA
Rfam family: Bacterial small subunit ribosomal RNA
Source: RNAcentral
UACGGGGGGGGCAAGCGUUGUUCGGAAUUACUGGGCGUAAAGCGUGCGUAGACGGUUAUUUAAGUCGGGUGUGAAAGCCCCGGGCUCAACCUGGGAAUUGCAUUCGAGACUGAAUAGCUAGGGUACGGUAGAGGGAAGUGGAAUUUCCGGUGUAGCGGUGAAAUGCGUAGAUAUCGGAAGGAACACCAGUGGCGAAGGCGACUACCUGGCCUGUUCUUGACGCUGAGGCGCGAAAGCUAGGGGAGCAAACGGG